Molecule: long non-coding RNA, 834 nt
Organism: Sitophilus oryzae (rice weevil)
Lineage: Eukaryota; Metazoa; Arthropoda; Insecta; Coleoptera; Curculionidae
Exons: 3
Source: RefSeq, a predicted model, not a curated record
UCAACUAUUAGCAUCAAAGGUGAGGGCAUAUUCAGUAUUUCCUUCAUCACUGUUAGGAUCAAUGGGACAAGUUCCCUAUUCAAGUAGAACAACAAUGGAUGCAGAGAUCACACCAACCAAGAGCUUAUCCAGUAAGAAGAUGAGGACCAAUUCUUAUUGGCAGUUUUCGUCGCAUAUAGCAAGCGCAGCCGCAACUAUGAGAUAUAGAAUACAAAGAAGAUCGGAUUUUGCGCAAGACGAUAUGGUAUGUUAUCAUUAUGAGAUACCUUCCAACUGGUUAGCUAGCGUCAACCAAGUAUUCGAAUUCGGAAUUGGAGGCCAACUUUGGAAUACAGGCCAAUUUAGAAUAUCCGAGCAAGAUGGUACGGGCUUAGCAGCCUCACUUGCCUCACCAAGAAAUAAACUAUAUUAAUGUCGAAUCAGAAAUGGACACCCUGAUAGACCAAAAUGUCAAGGUCCUGUACGUAGAGCCUAUAGCUCCUAACGAUCCCGGUGCAGUUGAAUUUGUUCCCGCGAGUAAGUUUAACAUUUAACCAACAAUGUUGAGAUUAUUUACCGACCCAUAGAAGAGAAUAUUAGUCCUUCAAUCAACGUUACUUCUGAUGACCUCAUCAAAGACAUUGAUUUGGAUUUUUUUGACAAAGAAGUUAAUAAUUCAAAUGAAGAGAGUUCCUUCUUGAAAAUGAAAGUACGGAUGUCGCUGAAAUUAUUUCAAAUGAAGUUCCAUCAAGAGCUUUCAGAGAAACAAGUACUGAAAAGGGGGUGAUGCUGGAAAAUAAAAAUGUGGUUGAAAAGGGUACCGAAGAAAUUUCCAGUACCUCACAAUUAACUACU